RNAcentral lists this ribosomal RNA (428 nucleotides) under uncultured bacterium. RNAcentral's name for it is "bacterial SSU rRNA". It matches the Rfam family "Bacterial small subunit ribosomal RNA", at positions 917 to 1344 of the family's 1533-position model. The record is from RNAcentral.
GGGCCCGCACAAGCGGUGGAGUAUGUGGUUUAAUUCGAUGCAACGCGAAGAACCUUACCAGGGUUUGACAUCCUGCGAAUCUCUUGGAAACAGGAGAGUGCCUUCGGGAACGCAGUGACAGGUGGUGCAUGGCUGUCGUCAGCUCGUGUCGUGAGAUGUUGGGUUAAGUCCUAUAACGAGCGCAACCCCUGUGGUUAGUUGCCAGCGAGUAAUGUCGGGAACUCUAGCCAGACUGCCGGUGCAAACCGCGAGGAAGGUGGGGAUGACGUCAAAUCAUCACGGCCCUUACGUCCUGGGCUACACACGUGCUACAAUGGUAGGGACAAAGGGCAGCAAGUUCGCGAGGACAAGCAAAUCCCAUAAACCGUGGCUCAGUUCAGAUCGUAGGCUGCAACUCGCCUACGUGAAGGCGGAAUCGCUAGUAAUCG